GACCGGAAACUCACCGUGGGCGACAGCAAUAUGUAGGUCAGGCUGAAGGUCUUACCUGAAUCGCUGAGAGGAGGUGCAUGGCCGUCGUCAGUUCGUACUGUGAAGCAUCCUGUUAAGUCAGGCAACGAGCGAGACCCACGCCAACAGUUGCCAGCGUGGUCUUCGGACCGAUGGGGACACUGUUGGGACCGCCUCUGCUAAAGGGGAGGAAGGAAUGGGCAACGGUAGGUCAGCAUGCCCCGAAUUAUCCGGGCUACACGCGGGCUACAAUGGAUGGGACAAUGGGUCCCUACCCCGAAAGGGGUUGGUAAUCUCAUAAACCCGGCCUUAGUUCGGAUCGAGGGCUGCAACUCGCCCUCGUGAAGCUGGAAUCCGUAGUAAUCGCGUUUCAAUAUAGCGCGGUGAAUACGUCCCUGCUCCUU
This 422-nucleotide ribosomal RNA is filed under the name uncultured Methanolobus sp. RNAcentral's name for it is "bacterial SSU rRNA". It matches the Rfam family "Archaeal small subunit ribosomal RNA", at positions 917 to 1338 of the family's 1478-position model. The record is from RNAcentral. Lineage: Archaea; Methanobacteriati; Methanobacteriota; Methanomicrobia; Methanosarcinales; Methanosarcinaceae.